UACGGAGGUCUCAAGCGUUGUUCGGAUUCAUUGGGCGUAAAGGGUGCGUAGGUGGCGCCGUAAGUCAGGUGUGAAAUUUCGGAGCUUAACUCCGAAACUGCAUUUGAUACUGCGGUGCUUGAGGACUGGAGAGGAGACUGGAAUUCACGGUGUAGCAGUGAAAUGCGUAGAUAUCGUGAGGAAGACCAGUGGCGAAGGCGGGUCUCUGGACAGUUCCUGACACUGAGGCACGAAGGCCAGGGGAGCAAACGGG
Molecule: ribosomal RNA, 253 nt
Filed under: uncultured bacterium
Lineage: Bacteria
Description: partial 16S ribosomal RNA
Rfam family: Bacterial small subunit ribosomal RNA
Source: RNAcentral